CCUACGGGUGGCAGCAGUGGGGAAUAUUGCACAAUGGGGGAAAGCCUGAUGCAGCAACGCCGCGUGAGCGAAGAAGGACUUCGUGUCGUAAAGCUCUAUCAUCAAGGAAGAUAAUGACGGUACUUGAGGAGGAAGCCCCGGCUAACUACGUGCCAGCAGCCGCGGUAAUACGUAGGGGGCUAGCGUUAUCCGGAAUUACUGGGCGUAAAGGGUGCGUAGGGGGGUUCUUAAGUCAGAGGUGAAAGGCUAAGGCUAAAACGUAGUAAGCCUUUGAAACUGGGAAACUUGAGUGCAGGAGAGGAGAGUGGAAUUCCUAGUGUAGCGGUGAAAUGCGUAGAUAUUAGGAGGAACACCAGUUGCGAAGGCGGCUCUCUGGACUGUAACUGACACUGAGGCACGAAAGCGUGGGGAGCAAACAGGAUUAGAUACCCGUGUAGUC
This 439-nucleotide ribosomal RNA is filed under the name uncultured bacterium. RNAcentral describes it as "partial 16S ribosomal RNA". It matches the Rfam family "Bacterial small subunit ribosomal RNA", at positions 338 to 795 of the family's 1533-position model. The record is from RNAcentral.